GAAACAUCUAAGUACCCGGAGGAAGAGAAAGAAAAAUCGAUUUCCUAAGUAGCGGCGAGCGAACGGGAAAGAGCCCAAACCAGAAACUUGUUUCUGGGGUUGUGGAUAGAUCAUAAAAGAAGAGGUAUCUUAAUCGAAGAGGGCUGGAACGCCCUACCAUAGAAGGUAAUAGUCCUGUAGAUAAAAAGAGAAAACUUUAAGAUCUAAUCCAGAGUACCACGAGACACGUGAAACCUUGUGGGAAGCAGGGAGGACCACCUCCCAAGGCUAAAUACUACCUAGUGACCGAUAGUGAAGCAGUACCG
This 305-nucleotide ribosomal RNA is filed under the name Clostridium botulinum. RNAcentral describes it as "partial 23S ribosomal RNA". It matches the Rfam family "Bacterial large subunit ribosomal RNA", at positions 195 to 503 of the family's 2925-position model. The record is from RNAcentral. Lineage: Bacteria; Bacillati; Bacillota; Clostridia; Eubacteriales; Clostridiaceae.